Molecule: non-coding RNA, 73 nt
Organism: Ixodes scapularis (black-legged tick)
Lineage: Eukaryota; Metazoa; Arthropoda; Arachnida; Ixodida; Ixodidae
Source: Rfam
CCCUGGUUAGCUCAGUUGGUAGAGCGCUCCACUUGUAAUGGAGAGGUGCCAGGUUCGAUACCCGGACCAGGCG